GUUGGUGAGAGUGAGCGAUUGAUGUCACACUUCUUUUGUGUUAGGUUAAUCUGUGGCAUUAGCUCUUCCAUCAGUGGCUUAAUGAAGCUGAGUGACUUGAGUUUGCUGUGGCGGUGUUCGGAGAUGUAAUUCUCUCUUCGCAGGUUUUCCCUUUGAUUGGUGGUCUCACUAUGUAACUUUGACUGACUUGAAACUCACUAUGUAAACCAGGAUGCCUGAAAUUCACAAAGACCUGCCUUCCUCUGCCUCUCAAAUGCUGGUUAAAGGAGUAGGCACCACUACUUGAAAUAAAGAAAUAUGUUUUGCUUGCUAAAGAGUUUUGGUGGAUUUAUCAGCUAGACCUUCAUAACUGCGUGCGUAACCAGGAAACCUGUUCAAAGGCAGUAGAGAAAUCCAGGCCGCAUGUCGUGCCUGUCAUGCUGGUGUGCAGAAGGCUUCAAGGUCCUGCAGUUUUCUGGUUCUGUCUUGGGUGACUCCUGUCUUCACCGCGGCAGGGUGGCCACUGCAGUUGCCUUUCAGACAUAGAGGGAGGAGAGUCAACAGACACACUUACUGGCUGUCUGACAAGCCCAAAUUCUCAAGAUCAUACUUUCAUCUUUUGGUUGGAGCUAGGUUAUGGUAGUUCCUUACCUACCUGAAAAUGAGUGUUUUUAACAAGGCACAUGGUUGUCCCGUCUGCAGCAAGGAAGGUGGGGUAAGAGACGUCAUCUAAGCAACUAAAGUGUCUGCCAGGAAGCUGAAGGAAGCCCUUAGAUGGCUUGGCACCCAUGCUAAUUCUUACUCAUCAAUAAACAUGCAGUCUAAGUAAUUUUAUUUUAAAAAUAUCAGUUGGAUUGCUUUCAUUUUUCCUGUCAUAAAUUUUAUAAUGUGGCAUUAUCCUCACAUUUGCUUCUGUAACACAGUCCUGACUUUUAGUAAUUACUGCUCUGAAGUACGCAUGAGUCAUAUGCUCUGAGAAACCCCACAAAGCAAAUCCAUCGUUCACUGCAUCCACAUCCCCUGAUGACCUAUUCCAAUCCUUCUCCCUCUCCAGGUCUCGAGGUGGCCAAGUCCUUAACUUCUAAUACCACUCAUAAACUUUAUUUUGAACUCUAACUAACUCUAAGUUUACAGAAUGACAUAAACUACUUAGGCUGUUUUCAAAUCAUGUAUUAAUUCAUUGUAAUUAAUUAAUUAUAAUUACUUAGUUGCAAUUAAUAUUAACGGGAGCAUUCCUUUAUGCACAGUUCUGAGUUAUAGAGAUGUAAGUCUUUAGCUUUUAUAGCGAUUGCUAAGCAGUUGUUUAAAAACUAUUGUGUAAGGGCAGGGGGGAUGGCUUAGUGGGUAAGAAUACUUACUGAGCACAUGUGAGGAUCUGAGUUGGGA
Myodes glareolus (Bank vole) is the source of this 1365-nucleotide non-coding RNA. NCBI's taxonomy places the organism in Eukaryota, Metazoa, Chordata, Mammalia, Rodentia, Cricetidae. The record is from RefSeq and is a predicted model, not a curated record.